CAUGAAGCUGGAAUCGCUAGUAAUCGCGAAUCAGAAUGUCGCGGUGAAUACGUUCCCGGGUCUUGUACACACCGCCCGUCACACCAUGGGAGUCGGAAAUGCCCGAAGUCAGUGACCUAACCGAAAGGGAGGAGCUGCCGAAGGUGGAGCCGGUAACUGGGGUGAAGUCGUAACAAGGUAAC
This 182-nucleotide ribosomal RNA is filed under the name uncultured bacterium. Its description in RNAcentral is "partial 16S ribosomal RNA". It matches the Rfam family "Bacterial small subunit ribosomal RNA", at positions 1319 to 1500 of the family's 1533-position model. The record is from RNAcentral.